This 512-nucleotide ribosomal RNA is filed under the name uncultured bacterium. RNAcentral describes it as "bacterial SSU rRNA". It matches the Rfam family "Bacterial small subunit ribosomal RNA", at positions 36 to 518 of the family's 1533-position model. The record is from RNAcentral.
CUGGCGGCGUGCCUAAUACAUGCAAGGUCGAACGGUCUUUCUAUGGAAGCUUGCUUCCACUGAGAAGAUAGUGGCGAACGGGUGAGUAACACGUGGGGUAACCCUGCCCAUAAGAGGGGGGAUAACAUCCGGAAACGGGUGCUAAUACCGCAUAGUUUCUUGAUCGCAUGAUCGGGAAAGGAAAGACGGCCUUUGUGCUGUCGCUUAUGGAUGGACCCGCGGCGUAUUAGUUAGUUGGUGAGGUAACGGCUCACCAAGACGAUGAUACGUAGCCGACCUGAGAGGGUGAUCGGCCACAUUGGGACUGAGACACGGCCCAAACUCCUACGGGAGGCAGCAGUAGGGAAUCUUCCGCAAUGGACGAAAGUCUGACGGAGCAACGCCGCGUGAGUGAAGAAAGGUUUUCGGAUCGUAAAACUCUGUUGUCAGAGAAGAACAAGUUGGAGAGUAACUGCUCCAGCCUUGACGGUAUCUGACCAGAAAGCCACGGCUAACUACGUGCCAGCCGCCGC